CCUACGUGCUGCAGCAGUGAGGAAUAUUGGUCAAUGGGCGCGAGCCUGAACCAGCCAAGUAGCGUGAAGGAUGACUGCCCUACGGGUUGUAAACUUCUUUUAUAAAGGAAUAAAGUGAGGCACGUGUGCCUUUUUGUAUGUACUUUCUGAAUAAGGAUCGGCUAACUCCGUGCCAGCAGCCGCGGUAAUACGGAGGAUCCGAGCGUUAUCCGGAUUUAUUGGGUUUAAAGGGAGCGUAGAUGGGUUGUUAAGUCAGUUGUGAAAGUUUGCGGCUCAACCGUAAAAUUGCAAUUGAUACUGGCAGUCUUGAGUACAGUUGAGGUAGGCGGAAUUCGUGGUGUAGCGGUGAAAUGCUUAGAUAUCACGAAGAACUCCGAUUGCGAAGGCAGCUUACUAAACUGCCACUGACAUUGAUGCUCGAAAGUGUGGGUAUCAAACAGGAUUAGAUACCCUUGUAGUC
This 460-nucleotide ribosomal RNA is filed under the name uncultured bacterium. Its description in RNAcentral is "partial 16S ribosomal RNA". It matches the Rfam family "Bacterial small subunit ribosomal RNA", at positions 338 to 795 of the family's 1533-position model. The record is from RNAcentral.